This 253-nucleotide ribosomal RNA is filed under the name uncultured bacterium. RNAcentral's name for it is "partial 16S ribosomal RNA". It matches the Rfam family "Bacterial small subunit ribosomal RNA", at positions 524 to 776 of the family's 1533-position model. The record is from RNAcentral.
UACGUAGGGUGCGAGCGUUAAUCGGAAUUACUGGGCGUAAAGCGUGCGCAGGCGGUUUACUAAGACAGGUGUGAAAUCCCCGGGCUUAACCUGGGAAUGGCGCUUGUGACUGGUAGGCUAGAGUACGUCAGAGGGGGGUGGAAUUCCACGUGUAGCAGUGAAAUGCGUAGAGAUGUGGAGGAAUACCGAUGGCGAAGGCAGCCCCCUGGGAUGAUACUGACGCUCAGGCACGAAAGCGUGGGGAGCAAACAGG